UACGUAGGGUCCGAGCGUUGUCCGGAAUCAUUGGGCGUAAAGCGCAUGUAGGCGGCCCUUUAAGUCGGAUGUGAAAUCCCAGGGCUCAACCCUGGAACUGCAUCCGAUACUGGAGGGCUUGAGGAAGGUAGAGGAGAGUGGAAUUCCCGGUGUAGCGGUGGAAUGCGCAGAUAUCGGGAGGAACACCAGCGGCGAAGGCGGCUCUCUGGGCCUCUCCUGACGCUGAGCUG
This 230-nucleotide ribosomal RNA is filed under the name uncultured microorganism. RNAcentral describes it as "partial 16S ribosomal RNA". It matches the Rfam family "Bacterial small subunit ribosomal RNA", at positions 524 to 753 of the family's 1533-position model. The record is from RNAcentral.